This 352-nucleotide ribosomal RNA is filed under the name uncultured bacterium. Its description in RNAcentral is "bacterial SSU rRNA". It matches the Rfam family "Bacterial small subunit ribosomal RNA", at positions 8 to 350 of the family's 1533-position model. The record is from RNAcentral.
AGAGUUUGAUCAUGGCUCAGGGUGAACGCUAGCUACAGGCUUAACACAUGCAAGUCGAGGGGAAACGACAUCGAAAGCUUGCUUUUGAUGGGCGUCGACCGGCGCACGGGUGAGUAACGCGUAUCCAACCUGCCCACCACUUGGGGGAUAACCUUGCGAAAGUAAGACUAAUACCCAAUGACGUCUCUAGAAGACAUCUGAAGGAGAUUAAAGAUUUAUCGGUGAUGGAUGGGGAUGCGUCUGAUUAGCUUGUUGGCGGGUAACGGCCACCAGGCGACGAUCAGUAGGGGUUCUGAGAGGAAGGUCCCCCACAUUGGAACUGAGACACGGUCCAAACGUCCUACGGGAGGCA